This 254-nucleotide ribosomal RNA is filed under the name uncultured bacterium. RNAcentral's name for it is "partial small subunit ribosomal RNA". It matches the Rfam family "Bacterial small subunit ribosomal RNA", at positions 26 to 285 of the family's 1533-position model. The record is from RNAcentral.
AGGACGAACGCUGGCGGCGUGCUUAACACAUGCAAGUCGAGCGGAAAGGCCCUUCAGGGUACUCGAGCGGCGAACGGGUGAGUAACACGUGAGUAAUCUGCCCCUAGCUCUGGGAUAGCUCCGGGAAACCGGGAUUAAUACCAGAUACGACCACUUUAGACAUCUGUUGUGGUGGAAAGAAUUUUGGCUAGGGAUGAGCUCGCGGCCUAUCAGCUUGUUGGUGAGGUAACGGCUCACCAAGGCGACGACGGGUA